GAAGGAUAAGAAGCCAUCCACUUUCCAUACCACCACCAACUUCAAAACCUUGUGAAUGAUAAGCAAUCGUCUGGUUUUCCAUCAUACAAAAACGGUUACUAUUGACCCAGAGGAAUUUUCUGAAGACGAAUAUCCAGCAAGGUCCAAAAGUGAAUUUGUCUAUAUUAAAAAGUAUCUAUGAACCUGGGCAAUGGAACAAUCUAAGAGUUCUCUUUGCUCAUCUUUUAAAUUGGUAGAAUACAUAGCAAGACGCUGAUGUAAAAGUUUAAAGAAUGUCUCAUCUAGCAAACAGGAUUUACAGACAUGCGAAGACGUUCAGGAACUUGUAAUUUAAUUGGGAAUGCAAAGCAUUAAGUAUGUAGGUCUCCAGUCAGUCGUUUCCCUUUCCUCAUCUGUAUUCAGAUAACUAAGGAGGCCAACUGUAGAACUCAGGGCGUUGAACAACAUCAGUUUAUAUAGAAGUUCAAAACAAGGAGAUCGAGGCAUUAAUGCAUUGCAGAACACCUCAGAUAUGCUCCAUGCCUUCAGGUUACAAAGCUGAUGGCAAAUGUAUAACUUAAUAAUACCAAAUCAACAAAAAAAAAAGAGAGAGAAGAAAAGGAGACAAAAGGGAAUUGUUUGUAAGUGCAACGAAUUAGAUAACCUGCCCUAGCAUAAAUAUUUGCAAGAAUGACGAUGGAUCUUGAAAUAGAGGGUGAUAAGGAGAGGGAAAUUUUUCAAUUUUUUGUUCAUGGACAGACAGAGUAGUUAAUUGCCUGAAUAAAAAGCACUAACGAAUUUAAUAGAGGUAAAAAUAAAUUGAUAUAAAAUUUA
RNAcentral lists this long non-coding RNA (813 nucleotides) under Phoenix dactylifera (date palm). Its description in RNAcentral is "long non-coding RNA (PDAC_LNC016646)". The record is from RNAcentral. Lineage: Eukaryota; Viridiplantae; Streptophyta; Magnoliopsida; Arecales; Arecaceae.